CAACAUCUAACCCACCCACCUGGUCGCUGGCAGCUCAGGCUCCGCCCGCGCCCACACGGGCUGACCCUUGACUACCUGCCUGGAAGCACAGCCGAAACAGUUAACCAUUUUCAAAAGCUGCUCAGGUGAUGAUGCUCUACAUCGGAGACAGAACUGUUUUCCUCGGCGGCGUCACUAAUAGCAUGGGCUGGGAGGAAUAAUGCAGUUGGCAUGCAGUCCUGGGUUCCGCUGAGGAUGCAUGAGGCUGGGGACAGGGUGCUGGUGCCAUCUUCCAGGGACGGAUGUGUGGGCCCUGCGAGCACUCAGCUUGGAGCAGGGUUGCAGAUCCUGACCACAAGGACUGAUCACUAUGGACUCUCUAUUUGAAG
Eptesicus fuscus (big brown bat) is the source of this 368-nucleotide long non-coding RNA. RefSeq lists it as uncharacterized. The record is from RefSeq and is a predicted model, not a curated record. Lineage: Eukaryota; Metazoa; Chordata; Mammalia; Chiroptera; Vespertilionidae. The transcript has 3 exons.